GCUAGAUGGACUGGAAACCAGAUAUGUUUUCUCUGCCAUUUCAGGUCCAUUGCGUGCCUAAUGCUAUCUCCUUGUGGACCCAGGCAGGGAAAUAUCCUAGGAUGCAUCUUGCUGAAUUUAUCAAUUUUAUUCUAUUUGAAAACGUGGUUAUGCUUGACAAUUAUGCAUCAUAUCAAUUUAUGUUAUCUCAGAUGUUGGAUUUUAUAAAUAGCGCUCUUAAUAGCCUUUGUGGAUGCCUGUCACCUAAUGUUUCUAACUGUUAGUGGUAAGGGUUAUUGCAUUUUCUUAAGUUGGCCUUCACAGUAAUAUGCUUUCUCCAUUAAGAGAAAAAUAUAGGUAGUACUGCUGACCUCAAAAUAGAAAUUAGCUUUCCUAGGUACUUUAUCUUUCAACCUUUCCACUUGGUAGGAAUAU
Long non-coding RNA from Lolium rigidum, 414 nucleotides. RefSeq lists it as uncharacterized. The transcript has 3 exons. The record is from RefSeq and is a predicted model, not a curated record. Lineage: Eukaryota; Viridiplantae; Streptophyta; Magnoliopsida; Poales; Poaceae.